AGCAGAGAUGCUUUGGUGCCUUCGGGAACUCUGAGACAGGUGCUGCAUGGCUGUCGUCAGCUCGUGUUGUGAAAUGUUGGGUUAAGUCCCGCAACGAGCGCAACCCUUAUCCUUUGUUGCCAGCGGCUCGGCCGGGAACUCAAAGGAGACUGCCGGUGAUAAACCGGAGGAAGGUGGGGAUGACGUCAAGUCAUCAUGGCCCUUACGGCCAGGGCUACACACGUGCUACAAUGGCGCAUACAAAGAGAAGCGACCUCGCGAGAGCAAGCGGGACCUCAUAAAGUGCGUCGUAGUCCGGAUUGGAGUCUGCAACUCGACUCCAUGAAGUCGGAAUCGCUAGUAAUCGUAGAUCAGAAUGCUACGGUGAAUACGUUCCCGGGCCUUGUACACACCGCCCGUCACACCAUGGGAGUGGGUUGCAAAAGAAGUAGGUAGCUUAACCUUCGGGAGGGCGCUUACCACUUUGUGAUUCAUGACUGGGGUGAAGUCGUAACAAGGUAAGCGUAGCGAG
This 511-nucleotide ribosomal RNA is filed under the name uncultured bacterium. RNAcentral's name for it is "bacterial SSU rRNA". It matches the Rfam family "Bacterial small subunit ribosomal RNA", at positions 999 to 1509 of the family's 1533-position model. The record is from RNAcentral.